RNAcentral lists this ribosomal RNA (155 nucleotides) under Pichia terricola. RNAcentral's name for it is "5.8S ribosomal RNA". It matches the Rfam family "5.8S ribosomal RNA". Rfam says of the family: 5.8S ribosomal RNA (5.8S rRNA) is a component of the large subunit of the eukaryotic ribosome. It is transcribed by RNA polymerase I as part of the 45S precursor that also contains 18S and 28S rRNA. The record is from RNAcentral. Lineage: Eukaryota; Fungi; Ascomycota; Pichiomycetes; Pichiales; Pichiaceae.
AAACUUUCAACAACGGAUCUCUUGGUUCUCGCAUCGAUGAAGAGCGCAGCGAAAUGCGAUACCUAGUGUGAAUUGCAGCCAUCGUGAAUCAUCGAGUUCUUGAACGCACAUUGCGCCCCCUGGUAUUCCGGGGGGCAUGCCUGUUUGAGCGUCGU